CAUCCCAUUUUAUCACCAUUCAGUCAGUCCAUCAAAAAUGAGUGGCUGUGCUAAUGGGGGAAAGUAACUUGUCAUUGUCUGAUAGAGAGGCAGUGACCCAGCUUUCCUAUAUGAAAUGACCAUAACAUCUUAAU
Molecule: small nucleolar RNA, 134 nt
Organism: Polyodon spathula (Mississippi paddlefish)
Lineage: Eukaryota; Metazoa; Chordata; Actinopteri; Acipenseriformes; Polyodontidae
Product: small nucleolar RNA SNORA29
Exons: 1
Source: RefSeq, a predicted model, not a curated record